UUGGCACCAUAUUUCCUUCUUGUUCCUAAGUACUAGUGCCGCGGGAGUUAACGGAGCAAUCAAAAAUUUCAAAUUUGACUACUCCUGCUGUUCAAGUGCUUAUCAACAGGAAACAGUUUCAUCCAAU
This 127-nucleotide microRNA precursor is filed under the name Tigriopus californicus. Its description in RNAcentral is "microRNA mir-252". The stretch from base 18 to 111 matches the Rfam family "mir-252 microRNA precursor family". The record is from RNAcentral. Lineage: Eukaryota; Metazoa; Arthropoda; Copepoda; Harpacticoida; Harpacticidae.